This 434-nucleotide ribosomal RNA is filed under the name uncultured Lachnospiraceae bacterium. RNAcentral's name for it is "partial 16S ribosomal RNA". It matches the Rfam family "Bacterial small subunit ribosomal RNA", at positions 341 to 792 of the family's 1533-position model. The record is from RNAcentral. Lineage: Bacteria; Bacillati; Bacillota; Clostridia; Lachnospirales; Lachnospiraceae.
ACGGAAGGCAGCAGUGGGGAAUAUUGCACAAUGGGGGAAACCCUGAUGCAGCGACGCCGCGUGAGCGAAGAAGUAUUUCGGUAUGUAAAGCUCUAUCAGCAGGGAAGAAAAUGACGGUACCUGACUAAGGAGCUCCGGCUAAAUACGUGCCAGCAGCCGCGGUAAUACGUAUGGAGCAAGCGUUAUCCGGAUUUACUGGGUGUAAAGGGAGCGUAGACGGGACAGCAAGUCUGAUGUGAAAGGCGGGGGCUCAACCCCUGGACUGCAUUGGAAACUGUUGACCUUGAGUGCCGGAGAGGUAAGCGGAAUUCCUAGUGUAGCGGUGAAAUGCGUAGAUAUUAGGAGGAACACCAGUGGCGAAGGCGGCUUACUGGACGGUAACUGACGUUGAGGCUCGAAAGCGUGGGGAGCAAACAGGAUUAGAUACCCUGGUA